CCAAUAGCGUAUAUUAAAGUUGUUGCAGUUAAAAAGCUCGUAGUUGAAUUUCGGGAUCAAUUUAUUGGUCGUGCUAUUGUACGUACUGGUAUUAUUGAUUCCUACCUUCUGACGAACCAUGAUGUCAUUAAUUUGGUGUCAUGGGGAAUCAGGACUGUUACUUUGAAAAAAUUAGAGUGUUUAAAGCAGGCUCACGCUUGAAUACAUUAGCAUGGAAUAACGAAAUAGGCCGUUUGAUUCUAUUUUGUUGGUUUCUAGGAUCGACGUAAUGAUUAAUAGGGAUAGUUGGGGGCAUUAGUAUUCAAUUGUCAGAGGUGAAAUUCUUGGAUUUAUUAAAGACUAACUACUGCGAAAGCAUUUGCCAAGGAUGUUUUCAUUAAUCAAGAACGAAAGUUAGGGGAUCGAAGACGAUCAGAUACCGUCGUAGUCUUAACCAUAAACUAUGCCGACUAGGGAUCGGAUGAUGUUAAUUUUUUAAUGACUCAUUCGGCGCCUUACG
This 499-nucleotide ribosomal RNA is filed under the name uncultured Glomeromycotina. RNAcentral describes it as "partial small subunit ribosomal RNA". It matches the Rfam family "Eukaryotic small subunit ribosomal RNA", at positions 591 to 1092 of the family's 1831-position model. Lineage: Eukaryota; Fungi; Glomeromycota. The record is from RNAcentral.